CCUGCGGAAGGAUCAUUGUCGAUACCUGCUUGGCAGAACAACAUGCGAACGUAUUCAUGAAGGAAAAAGAAUUCGAGCUUCGGGCGAGUUGGCAUCUAGCCCUGGCUAGUGCCUCCUUGUUCCGUGGCCUAACCUCAAAACCUAGCACGAGUUGUGCCAAGGAAUCUACGAUGGGCGGACUGCGCCUAGAAGCGCACGGUCUCCUUAUAUAGUCGAUAAAAAUGACUCUCGGCAACGGAUAUCUCGGCUCUCGCAUCGAUGAAGAACGUAGCGAAAUGCGAUACUUGGUGUGAAUUGCAGAAUCCCGCGAACCAUCGAGUCUUUGAACGCAAGUUGCGCCCUAAGCUUUAGGCCGAGGGCACGCCUGCCUGGGUGUCACACAUUGUCGCCUCCAAAGCCCUUUGCUCUCGAAGCAUUGCUGGCGGAAAAUGGCCUCUCGUGCGCUCGCUCGCGUGGUUGGCUGAAAAUCAGUGCCAAGGUGUGGAGCGCCACGACCACCGGUGGUUGGCACGUUCCAAUGACCCUCUUGCACGGUCGUGCGCUGCUCCAACUUGAAUGCGGUGCCUAUUUGUGACCCCAUACGCGUUGCUUUGUUGACGCUCGCUAUGCGACCCCAGG
Molecule: ribosomal RNA, 618 nt
Filed under: Oxalis tuberosa (oca)
Lineage: Eukaryota; Viridiplantae; Streptophyta; Magnoliopsida; Oxalidales; Oxalidaceae
Description: 5.8S ribosomal RNA
Rfam family: 5.8S ribosomal RNA (bases 224-378)
Source: RNAcentral